GAUGAACGCUGGCGGCGCGCCUAACACAUGCCAGUCGAACGAUUAAAGCACCUUCGGGUGUGUAUAAAGUGGCGAACGGCUGAGUAACACGUGGGCAACCUGCCCCUUUCAUUGGGAUAGCCACGGGAAACCGUGGAUAAUACCGAAUACUUCGAGACUUCCGCAUGGAAGACUCGAGAAAGCUCCGGCGGAGAGGGAUGGGCCCGCGGCCUGUUAGCUUGUUAGUGGGGUAACGGCCUACGAAGGCAAUGAUGGGUAGCUGGGUUUAGAGACCGACCAGCCAGAUUGGGACUGAGACACGGCCCAGACUCCUACGGGAGGCAGCAGUGGGGAAUCUUGCACAAUGGGCGAAAGCCUGAUGCAGCGACGCCGCGUGCGGGAUGAAGGCCUUCGGGUUGUAAACCGCUUUCAGCAGGGACGAGGCGAAAGUGACGGUACCUGCAGAAGAAGCCCCGGCUAACUACGUG
This 467-nucleotide ribosomal RNA is filed under the name uncultured bacterium. RNAcentral's name for it is "partial 16S ribosomal RNA". It matches the Rfam family "Bacterial small subunit ribosomal RNA", at positions 28 to 507 of the family's 1533-position model. The record is from RNAcentral.